GAUGAAGAACGUAGUGAAAUGCGAUACUUGGUGUGAAUUGCAGAAUCCCGUGAACCAUCGAGUCUUUGAACGCAAGUUGCGCCCGAAGCCAUCAGGUUGAGGGCACGCCUGCCUGGGUGUCACACAUCGUUGCCCCAAUGCCAAUCGCCUCACUUUGUAGGUAUUUGCUUGGGGUGAAUGUUGGCCUCCCGUGAGCUUUGUCUCACGGUUGGUUGAAAAUCGAGUGCAUGGUGUCGGGUGUACCAUGAUGGAUGGUGGUUGAGUGAUGAUGCUCGAGACCAAUCAUGGGUAACUCCACCAGAAUUGGGCUCGGUGACCCACAUGCGUCCCUUGGAUGCUCCCUAAGGAGACCUCAGGUCAGGCGGGGCUACCCGCUGAGUUUAAGCAUAUCAAUAAGCGGAGGA
RNAcentral lists this unclassified non-coding RNA (404 nucleotides) under soil metagenome. RNAcentral's name for it is "partial contains 5.8S ribosomal RNA, internal transcribed spacer 2, and large subunit ribosomal RNA". The stretch from base 1 to 122 matches the Rfam family "5.8S ribosomal RNA", at positions 35 to 154 of the family's 154-position model. The record is from RNAcentral.